GCCUGCUUAGCAUAGUGGCUAAUGCGUUGCACUUGUAUCACCACGACGACAUGCAAAGAUCACAGGUUCGAUUCCUGUAGUAGGCA
The sequence is a transfer RNA, 86 nucleotides long. It matches the Rfam family "tRNA". Rfam says of the family: Transfer RNA (tRNA) molecules are approximately 80 nucleotides in length. Their secondary structure includes four short double-helical elements and three loops (D, anti-codon, and T loops). Further hydrogen bonds mediate the characteristic L-shaped molecular structure. tRNAs have two regions of fundamental functional importance: the anti-codon, which is responsible for specific mRNA codon recognition, and the 3' end, to which the tRNAs corresponding amino acid is attached (by aminoacyl-tRNA synthetases). tRNAs cope with the degeneracy of the genetic code in two manners: having more than one tRNA (with a specific anti-codon) for a particular amino acid; and 'wobble' base-pairing, i.e. permitting non-standard base-pairing at the 3rd anti-codon position. The record is from Rfam.